This 606-nucleotide ribosomal RNA is filed under the name Gigaspora sp. MS. RNAcentral describes it as "SSU rRNA". It matches the Rfam family "Eukaryotic small subunit ribosomal RNA", at positions 643 to 1255 of the family's 1831-position model. Lineage: Eukaryota; Fungi; Glomeromycota; Glomeromycetes; Diversisporales; Gigasporaceae. The record is from RNAcentral.
GGGUUCUACCGUUGGUCGGGCAAUAGUCUGUACUGGCGUGUAGAAUUUCUACCUUCUGGGGAACCAUCAUGUUAUUUAUUUAGCGUGGUGGGAAACCAGGACCUUUACCUUGAAAAAAUUAGAGUGUUCAAAGCAGGCUUACGUCUGAAUACAUUAGCAUGGAAUAAUAAAAUAGGACGGUGGUCCUGUUUUGUUGGUUUCUGAAUCACCGUAAUGAUUAAUAGGGAUAGUUGGGGGCAUUAGUAUUCAAUUGUUAGAGGUGAAAUUCUUGGAUUUAUUGAAGACUAACUUCUGCGAAAGCAUUUGCCAAGGAUGUUUUCAUUAAUCAAGAACGAAAGUUAGGGGAUCGAAGACGAUCAGAUACCGUCGUAGUCUUAACCAUAAACUAUGCCGACUAGGGAUCGGACGAUGUUAAUUUUUCUUGACUCGUUCGGCGCCUUACGGGAAACCAAAGUGUUUGGGUUCCGGGGGGAGUAUGGUCGCAAGGCUGAAACUUAAAGGAAUUGACGGAAGGGCACCACCAGGGGUGGAGCCUGCGGCUUAAUUUGACUCAACACGGGAAAACUCACCAGGUCCAGACAUAGUAAGGAUUGACAGAUUGAGAGC